This 762-nucleotide ribosomal RNA is filed under the name Triticum aestivum (bread wheat). RNAcentral's name for it is "partial small subunit ribosomal RNA". Lineage: Eukaryota; Viridiplantae; Streptophyta; Magnoliopsida; Poales; Poaceae. The record is from RNAcentral.
AUGGCGGGGGCGCUCGCGGCCUCGGCGCCGGCGCCGGCGACGCUGCUGCGGGACGGAGGCGCCACGCUGCUCGUCACCGCCGGGGCCUACUCCCUCGUGCGCGCCUUCGACGCGCUCACCGAGCGCCGCAUCGUCCAACAGAGCUUGAGCAGGAAGGUUGUGCAUGUGCUAUCCGGGGUCUUUUUCAUGGCUUCAUGGCCACUCUUCAGCAAUUCGACCGGUGCACGGUUCUUCGCGGUAGUCCCGUUCCUGAACUGCGUCAGGCUUCUCGCCUACGGCCUCGGCUUCUACUCCGACGAAGCUCUUGUCAAAUCUGUGACCCGUGAAGGAAAACGAGAGGAAUUGCUUAGAGGCCCUCUCUACUAUGUCAUUGUGCUACUGAUCAUUGUUCUAGUCUUUUGGCGUGACUCCCCGAUCGGGAUCGUUUCCUUGUCGAUGAUAAGCGGCGGAGACGGCUUUGCUGACAUUGUUGGGAGAAGAUUCGGCUCGCUGAAGCUGCCAUUCAACGACAAGAAGAGCUGGGUUGGAGUGGCAAUGUUCAUAUCUGGGUUCCUGCUGUCCGCUCUGAUGCUGUAAUAUUUCUCGUGGCUUGGUUACAUCCAUGUCAGCUGGGAUCAGGCGAUUGGUAAACUGGUUCUCGUUGCGCUGGCAGCCACUGUGGUGGAGUGUAUUCCUGUAACUGAUGUUGUAGAUGACAAUAUCUCUGUUCCAUUGGCCACCAUGUUGGUCGCCUUUCUGUUGUUUGGCAACACUGCAAAUUGA